GGGGGCGUGGCAGAAAAGUGAUGCACCUGCUUUGCAAGCAGGUUUAAACGGGAGCGUUACCCGUCAGCCUCCA
This 73-nucleotide transfer RNA is filed under the name Pedosphaera parvula Ellin514. It matches the Rfam family "tRNA". From Rfam's summary of the family: Transfer RNA (tRNA) molecules are approximately 80 nucleotides in length. Their secondary structure includes four short double-helical elements and three loops (D, anti-codon, and T loops). Further hydrogen bonds mediate the characteristic L-shaped molecular structure. tRNAs have two regions of fundamental functional importance: the anti-codon, which is responsible for specific mRNA codon recognition, and the 3' end, to which the tRNAs corresponding amino acid is attached (by aminoacyl-tRNA synthetases). tRNAs cope with the degeneracy of the genetic code in two manners: having more than one tRNA (with a specific anti-codon) for a particular amino acid; and 'wobble' base-pairing, i.e. permitting non-standard base-pairing at the 3rd anti-codon position. The record is from Rfam by way of RNAcentral. Lineage: Bacteria; Pseudomonadati; Verrucomicrobiota; Pedosphaerae; Pedosphaerales; Pedosphaeraceae.